UGGCCACAAAAGAGUAAUUACAAAGGUGU
Molecule: non-coding RNA, 29 nt
Filed under: Mus musculus (house mouse)
Lineage: Eukaryota; Metazoa; Chordata; Mammalia; Rodentia; Muridae
Source: RNAcentral